RNAcentral lists this ribosomal RNA (301 nucleotides) under uncultured bacterium. Its description in RNAcentral is "partial 16S ribosomal RNA". It matches the Rfam family "Bacterial small subunit ribosomal RNA", at positions 509 to 807 of the family's 1533-position model. The record is from RNAcentral.
CAGUAGCCGCGGGAAUACGAAGGGGGCUAGCGUUGUUCGGAAUUACUGGGCGUAAAGCGCACGUAGGCGGAUAUUUAAGUCAGGGGCGAAAUCCCAGAGCUCAACUCUGGAACUGCCUUUGAUACUGGGUAUCUUGAGUAUGGAAGAGGUGAGUGGAAUUCCGAGUGUAGAGGUGAAAUUCGUAGAUAUUCGGAGGAACACCAGUGGCGAAGGCGGCUCACUGGUCCAUUACUGACGCUGAGGUGCGAAAGCGUGGGGAGCAAACAGGAUUAGAGACCCCCGUAGUCCCUGUCUCUUAUAC